Molecule: ribosomal RNA, 680 nt
Filed under: Trachypollia lugubris
Lineage: Eukaryota; Metazoa; Mollusca; Gastropoda; Neogastropoda; Muricidae
Description: partial 16S ribosomal RNA
Rfam family: Bacterial large subunit ribosomal RNA (bases 1-510)
Source: RNAcentral
GACCGUGCAAAGGUAGCAUAAUCAUUUGCCUUAUAAUUGAAGGCUUGUAUGAAUGGUUUGACAAGAAUAAAACUGUCUCUUUAAAAUUAAAUACAAUUUUAUUUAUAGGUGAAGAAGCCUAUAUAAAAUUGAAAGACAAGAAGACCCUAUCGAGCUUUAAAAAAAUUGAUAAGUUUAAAAUCAUAUUUUUACUGAAUUAGUUAUUAAAAAUUUUAGUUGGGGCGACUAAGGAACAAAAAAAGCUUCCUAAAAAUUUAGAUACAUUUCAAGUUUUGAUCCAAAAAUUUUGAUUAAAGAAAUUAGUUACCGUAGGGAUAACAGCAUUAUCUUUUUUAAGAGCCCAAAUCGAAAAAAAGGUUUGUGACCUCGAUGUUGGACCAGAAUGUCCUGAAGAUGUAGCCGUCUUCAAGGGUUGGUCUGUUCGACCAUUAAAAUUCUACGUGAUCUGAGUUCAGACCGGCGUGAGCCAGGUCAGUUUCUAUCUUCAAUUUUUCAUUUGGACUUAGUACGAAAGGACCAGUCUACAGUAAUAAAUUAAACUAAAAAGAUAAAGUAUAAAGAAGAUUUAAAUUAAUAAGAUUAUAAAAGUCAAAUUAGCAAAGUUAAUGCAAUUGAUUUAGGAUCAAUAGACAUAGGUGAAAAUCCUUUAUUUGAUAUAAUCUAUAAAGGUGGCAGACAAA